This 392-nucleotide unclassified non-coding RNA is filed under the name soil metagenome. RNAcentral's name for it is "partial contains 5.8S ribosomal RNA, internal transcribed spacer 2, and large subunit ribosomal RNA". The stretch from base 6 to 123 matches the Rfam family "5.8S ribosomal RNA", at positions 39 to 154 of the family's 154-position model. The record is from RNAcentral.
GAUGAAAGAACGUAGCGAAAUGCGAUACUUGGUGUGAAUUGCAGAAUCCCGUGAACCAUCGAGUCUUUGAACGCAAGUUGCGCCCGAAGCCACUAGGCCGAGGGCACGCCUGCCUGGGCGUCACACGCCGUUGCCCCCCCAUCUACUCCUUCGGGAUUGCGGGGGGGCGGAUGAUGGCCUCCCGUGCGCCUAGCCGCGCGGUUGGCAUAAAUACCAAGUCCUCGGCGACGCACGCCACGACAAUCGGUGGUUGCGAAACCUCGGUUGCCCGUCGUGUGCGUUCGUCGCGCAUCGAGGGCUCGAAAAAAUGCUCGGCUCCGGCUGGGCUUUCAACGCGACCCCAGGUCAGGCGGGGUUACCCGCUGAAUUUAAGCAUAUCAAUAAGCGGAGGA